This is a non-coding RNA of Xyrichtys novacula (pearly razorfish), 3282 nucleotides long. The record is from the annotation of a GenBank genome assembly. NCBI's taxonomy places the organism in Eukaryota, Metazoa, Chordata, Actinopteri, Labriformes, Labridae.
UUGAGAGUUCGGUUUGGUAUCCAUCCCCUAUCCCCACAAUUUUUUUAGGGAAGAGAGUUGAAAGGAUGGGGGGAACAAAGAAAAGAGACUCUGUAACAGAUAUGAAAUAACUGUUGUGCAAAAGAAACUAGAUACAAAUGCUGUAAUGGACUCUGGGUCCCCUAGAAUGCAAUUCAGUAUUUUUAAUGCACAGACAUAUACAGAAAACAAGUAUAUGAACACAUAAAAUGGCAAAAUAAGGCCCCUGUUUGAUAUGACAAAGUAAUACUUCUGCUCUGGGUUUUUAAGUUAGUUAGUUAGUCACUUGUCAUGUAUGAUAAUAGAUGGGUGUCUAUUUCAUUGAUAUUUUGCCCAACUAUGAUCAGUUUCCCAUCCUCUCUAGGAGCUCUGGUAUCAUUAUAUUUGAGAGUCAUGGGAGAGGAAGUGUUUUCAAAGUGAGAGGUAAAUGGAUAUCCUGUUUACAUUAGGAGAUCCAUUCAUAUGGCCUCUGCUGCCUAUUGCCUCCUCUCAGGAUAUGUUCACUGAGACUGUCACAGCAGGUGGAGCAACCCUCGCUGACCUCACAGACAAGACAAACGUUGCAUCAGAGCAGCUGUAACAUUAAUCAGUGUCAAGUUGGCAUAUUGAUGCUAGAAAGCACACACCCAGACACGUGCAAACCUCCCUACUUCUAUUCCAUGUCCCUUUACUAAACUUUAUUUGUAGUUUUUAACUUUUAUCUUGAUACUAUUCGUGAUAUCCUUAUUGAAACACAUUGAACAUCUGUCGAAUCAGCACGUUUGAGCUUACAAAUUUUGAAAAAAUGUGUCCUUGCUCUUUAGACUUCUGUUGACAUCGCUGUGGUUAAUUUACACGGUAAUGGCAGACUCAUCAUACACACAAAAAAAUCAUUAACACAAUAAAAGCCAGUGUAGUGUUUGACUUGGCCACAUCUGUCCAAUUGAACAGAGAUUUACAGCACAGCAGACGGCGUUGGGUAUCAUUUCUCCAGCGCAGCCGUGUUUAUGUAGGCCGAGUUUAAAUAUUUGAGGAGCACAUGUGGGGAUGAAUAGUGGCACAGGAUUUCAUCAUAAAGCUGUGAAGGGCAAACCCUGCGGGGGGUCAUUGUAACAGUAGUGUCAACAUCGUCAGAUCCCCACCUCUGUCGACUCAGCAAACAGUGUCACAGACGCUCUGAAAAGGUAGCGACGGCUGCUUUCUGGAAAGCCCUGGGGGGGUUCUUAGAAGACCUUUUGAAGGUGCCAGCAGGCUGUGAACAUCUUCUCUUGUUAGUCCUGAGUAGUGUGUCUAAAGUAGCUUUGAAAAAAGGACACAGAGAGAUAUAAGAGAGUACAGUCAGGGAAGUGAUGCAAUAAAGAAACCCACUGAACAACAGUGACAAAGAGUAAAACAGCUGCUGCUCUUUUCUCCGAGGUAGUUCAUCUUGUCAUGUCAUUCCUGCCUCUAAAGUGUCAUUAUAUAACUCGAGGAACAAAAGAUGCUCAUUAUUGUUUCCAACAGCUUUUCCAUUUGUUUUUAACCAAUAAGAAGGCAGUAACUAUUCCUUUGUUCCACAGAUUUUAUCGAGGAUUUUUGACCAUAGACUGCAUGUCCACUUUCCUGAUAUGUUAUUGUUUACCAGCUUGCUAGUAUUAGUCAUAUUUCCACUACAAUUUUUGGAUUCACUACGAUUUAACUGCAUUAUGUGUUAUUUUUGUUGCUGUUUGUAUGUCUGCAUGUUUUCCUCUCUUUCUUUUACUCUGUCCGAACUUGUUAGCCUCAUUUGCUUGUGACAGAUGGCUGUGGACCAAAGAGUCUGGCUUUAAUAAGGGUUUCUGUCUGUUAAAAGGACCUGGCUGUUUGUCAUUGUCAAAACCUCUCUCCCCUUUUGACAUAUCCUUUAUUUCCACUGUCUUUCUCCAUCUUCUUGUGGCAGAUGACUGUGGACCAGUUUGUCUGGCUUCACUCAUGGUCUCUACCUGUUGAAUGGAAUUGUCUGUCUCUCAUUUUACUAUAUCCUUCAUUACCACUGCCUUGCCUCAUUUUCUUGUGACGGAUGACCAUGGACCAAUGAGUCUGGCUUUACCUGGGAUUUCUGCCUGUUGAAAGGACUUGUUCAUUACGCCUGUUGGUCUGUUGUCUACGUCUUGACCUCUCUCUUUUUGACUAUACACUAUCUUGCCUCAUCUCCUUGUGGCAGAUGAACACGGACCAGUUUGUCUGGCUUCACUCACGGUUUCUACCUGUUGAAUGGAAUUGACUGUCUUUCUUUUCAUUAUAUCCUUCAUUACCACUGCCUUGCCUCAUCUUCUUGUGACGGAUGGCCAUGGACCAAUGAGUCUGGCUUUACUUGGGAUUUCUGCCUGUUGAAAGGAAUUGUUCAUUACGCCUUUUGGUCUGUUGUCUACGUCUUGACCUCUCUCUUUUUAACUAUAUUCCUCAUUCCCACUAUCUUGCCUCAUCUUCUUGUGGCAGAUGACCGUGGACCAAUAAUUUUGGCUUUCCUCAGGGUUUCUGCCUCUUGGAAGGAAUUGUCUUUGUGUUUGACUUUCUGUCUGUUUUUUUGACAUAUCCUUCAUUCCCACCUGUCUUGAUCCAUUGUUUUGUGGCAGGUGGGCGUGGACUACUAAGUUUGAAUUAGUUCUCUCGGUCACUUCUGAAUGAAAUUUGGGAUCUUCUUGCCAAAAUUGCAAACUUUAUCUUUACGUAUAACUUUCCAGAACCUGCUAUUUACGUCAAGUUAUAUGUGAAAAUCUGUGGUUUGAAACUCUUUAAGUACAAGUUGAUGAAAUAAAGAGUUUUUCUUAGAUUACAGUCCUUUUCUGACAGUAAGAACUCAAAUCUUGCAUCUCAGUGUACCUUUGCAUCACAGCUCAUUUCAAGAAGUGUCUGUGGAAGUUUCCAUGCUCCCACUCUCACACUCUCCAGAGCAAGAGCCACAUCAAGCAUGCUUGGCUGUGAGCUAGUGGUGCGUGGGUUUUUGUUUACCCAGCCUGCCUGUCUGUGGUCGUCCACCACAGCUCACACAUCAUCACCCUACUGUCCACCUGACUCAGUAACUUUAGAGAAGAGGGCCAGAGUCCCUGCUCUGAAAUCAUGAUCAGAGCUAUCAUAACAAAGAAAAUUACUCCUUUCCUUCCUUGCUUGUAACAGUUAUUUCAGUAAUACAUUUUUCCUCUCACUUGCUUGCGUCACCUGUCAUGUUUCCAUCCAUCACUCCCAGCCAUCCAUUCUACAUUGUACCACAACCUUGUCUUGUUCUCCCUCCUUGCUUACUGUUUGUGUGUCUGUGGGGAUGCAAGU